GAUUCUUUAGAUCCUGGCAUCAGGUCUUGCUUAUUAAAAUCUUUCAACCUGCUUCACUUUGUCAGACUAAUUCUAUUUAAAUGACUUCCUGUUUCAAUAAGUCUCCCAGAAAACAUAAUUAAGUUUAGUUUAGUAAGUUAUGCUUUACUAUAUUUUGAACCCUGCAAUCAUGAAGGGCUCCAUCUUCAUUGCAAAGUUGCUGAAAACACAAUGGGUGAAUAAGCAAACAGUGGAGUGGUCAGCAUUGCACGGGCAGACUUCUAAAAGGGUCCAGAACCAAACAACUAAUUGACUGUUUUAUUUUUCAUUUGCAGGUUUCAUAAUGUAAUAUUCACAAUUAUGAUAAGGAAUUGCUCUUAUUUGCAGGGUAACUAGAAGAGGCUAAUUAUUUUGUAUAGAUCCCUUUUUAAGUGUGGCGUGUAUUUUAUAUGUGUGUGUCUUAGUUUUAUGCCCAUUAGUUUUUAAAUUGUUAUCAUUUUUUAAAUUGUAUUGUUUUUUCUGUAUUGCUUGUAUUUAUUUAUUUUUAUCUUUUUUUUAUCUUCAAUAACUGUUCAGCACUUUGUUUGAAAGUGCUUUAUACAUAAAGCCUUAAUAAAUAAAGUUAUCAUUAUUAUUAUUAGUAGUAGUAGUAGUAGUAUAUUGGUGUGGACAGAUUUGUAGUCCUAGGUCACCUCCACUCAGCCUUUGCUUGAAAUCCCUAAACUAAAUAAAACGAUAGUUGUGAAAUAAAAAAUAAAGCUUUUAUAUAUUUUAUAAAUCUUAAAUCUUACGUCUUGUGGCAGUAUUUUCGGGUCUAUGACAUAUCGUAAUUAUUACGAUUAUUACAAUAAUUUAUUCAACAGAAUAAGUUCUUAAAGUGCUCUGUCGCCCUCCGGCUUCAGCUCAGAUACGUUUACUCAGCUCUGCUGCCAUCUGGUGGUCAUUUUAGAUUUCUUCAUGAGCCAAGGUAGAGGCACGUGAUACGUGUUGUUUGACACUAACUGAAUCUGAUGAGGCAUGGCGCAUGGGCA
Molecule: long non-coding RNA, 1010 nt
Organism: Astatotilapia calliptera (eastern happy)
Lineage: Eukaryota; Metazoa; Chordata; Actinopteri; Cichliformes; Cichlidae
Source: Ensembl